RNAcentral lists this ribosomal RNA (1978 nucleotides) under human gut metagenome. RNAcentral describes it as "bacterial LSU rRNA". It matches the Rfam family "Bacterial large subunit ribosomal RNA", at positions 3 to 1990 of the family's 2925-position model. The record is from RNAcentral.
UUAAGCUAGAAAGGGCAUACGGUGGAUGCCUAGGCACUAAGAGUCGAAGAAGGACGCGGUAAGCUGCGAAAAGCUGUGAGGAGCUGCAAGCAAGCUGAGAAUCACAGAUAUCCAAAUGGGACAACCCGUCAGUGAUAAUACGCUGACAUCGUAUAUUGAGUCAAGUAGAUAUACGAAGACAACCCGGGGAACUGAAACAUCUAAGUACCCGGAGGAAAAGAAAGCAAAAGCGAUUCCCCCAGUAGCGGCGAGCGAAAAGGGAACAGCCCAAACCGAUUCUUCGGAAUCGGGGUAGAGGACUUCCAAAAAGAAUGGAUGGUUAGCAGAAUGAUCUGGGAAGGUCAGUCGAAGAAGGUAAUAACCCUGUAUGCGAAAGCCAGAAAUUUGGGGAAGGAUCCGGAGUACCACGAAGCACGUGAAAUUUCGUGGGAAGCAGGGGGGACCACCCUCCAAGGCUAAAUACUCCUUAGUGACCGAUAGUGAACAAGUACCGUGAGGGAAAGGUGAAAAGAACCCCGGAAGGGGAGUGAAAAAGAACCUGAAACCGUAUGCUUACAAGCUGUCACAGCACCAUACGAGUGUAGUGGCGUACUUUUUGUAGAACGGACCGGCGAGUUACGAUGUCAAGCGAGGUUAAGAUGAGAAGUCGGAGCCGAAGCGAAAGCGAGUCUGAAGAGGGCGAAAGUUUGACAUAGUAGACCCGAAACCGGGUGAUCUACCCAUGAGCAGGAUGAAGCGUUAGUAAAAUAACGUGGAGGUCCGAACCAGGUAUCGUUGAAAAGAUAUUGGAUGACUUGUGGGUAGGGGUGAAAUUCCAAUCGAACCCGGAGAUAGCUGGUUCUCCUCGAAAUAGCUUUAGGGCUAGCCUUGAAUUAGAUUAUGGGAGGUAGAGCACUGAAUAGGCUAGGGGGCUUCACCGCCUACCGAACCUUAUCAAACUACGAAUGCCGAUAAUUGAUGUUCAGGAGUCAGACUGUGGGGGAUAAGCUUCAUGGUCAAAAGGGAAACAGCCCAGACCGCCGGCUAAGGUCCCAAAGUGUGUGUUAAGUGGAAAAGGAUGUGAAAUCGCUCAGACAACCAGGAUGUUGGCUCAGAAGCAGCCACCAUUAAAAGAGUGCGUAAUAGCUCACUGGUCCAGGGGUUUUGCGCCGAAAAUGUAACGGGGCUCAAACACACCACCGAAGCCGCGGAAUGUUUUAGGACAUUGGUAGAGGAGCGUUCUUAAUGCGACGAAGGCGUACCGAGAGGAGCGUUGGAGCGUUAAGAAGUGAGAAUGCCGGUAUUAGUAUGCGAAAAGGCAGGUGAGAAUCCUGCCCGCCGAAAAUCUAAGGAUUCCUGGGGAAGGCUCGUCCGCCCAGGGUAAGUCGGGACCUAAGGCGAGGCCGAAAGGCGUAGUCGAUGGGAAACUGGUAGAUAUUCCAGUACCAGCGGAGGUCAAUUGAGUGAAGUAGUGAAGCAGAAGGAUAGGGAGAGCGCCCAGUUGGUGAGGCGUUUAAGUAAGUAGGGUGAUGUGCAGGCAAAUCCACACAUCGAGAGCCUGAGAUACGAAUACGAGUGAAAACUAGUAGCGAAGUCCCCGAUUCCCGGCUGCCAAGAAAAGCUGCUAACGAGACCGAAGGUGCCCGUACCGCAAACCGACACAGGUAGAUGGGGUGAGAAACCUAAGGCGCGCGAGAAAACUCUUGUUAAGGAACUCGGCAAAAUGAACCCGUAACUUCGGGAGAAGGGUUGCUCAUUAGUGUGAGUAUCCGUGCGAUACAGAGCACAGAUGAGUCGCAGAGAAAAGGUCCAGGCGACUGUUUAGCAAAAACACAGGUCAUUGCAAAACCGCAAGGUGAAGUAUAAUGGCUGACGCCUGCCCGGUGCUGGAAGGUUAAGGGGAAGAGUGAGAGCUUUGAACCGAAGCCCCAGUAAACGGCGGCCGUAACUAUAACGGUCCUAAGGUAGCGAAAUUCCUUGUCGGGUAAGUUCCGACCCG